GUUGCAGUUAAAAAGCUCGUAGUUGGAUUUCGGGAUGGGCCAGUCGGUCCGCCUAACGGUGUGUUUACUGGCUGGUCUGUUCUUCUUCGCAAAGACUGCGUGUGCACUUUACUGUGUGUGCGUAGGAUUUACGACGUUUACUUUGAAAAAAUUAGAGUGUUCAAAGCAGGCAUACCGCUUGAAUACAUGAGCAUGGAAUAAUGGAAUAGGACUUUGGUCUUAUUUUGUUGGUUUCUGAGACCGAAGUAAUGAUUAAGAGGGACAGUUGGGGGCAUUCGUAUUUCGUUGUCAGAGGUGAAAUUCUUGGAUUUACGAAAGACGAACGAUUGCGAAAGCAUUUGCCAAGAAUGUUUUCAUUAAUCAAGAACGAAAGUUAGAGGAUCGAAGACGAUCAGAUACCGUCCUAGUUCUAACCAUAAACGAUGUCGACUAGGGAUCAGCGAACGUCUAAUGCGACUUCGUUGGCACCUUACGGGAAACCAAAGUUUUUGGAUUCCGGGGGAAGUAUGGUUGCAAAACUGAAACUUAAAGGAAUUGACGGAAGGGCACCACCAGGAGUGGAGCCUGCGGCUUAACUUGACUCAACACGGGAAAACUCACCAGGUCCAGACAUANUAAGGAUUGACAGGUUGAGAGCCCUUUCUUGAUUCUAUGGGGUGGUGGU
This 664-nucleotide ribosomal RNA is filed under the name uncultured eukaryote. RNAcentral's name for it is "SSU rRNA". It matches the Rfam family "Eukaryotic small subunit ribosomal RNA", at positions 612 to 1281 of the family's 1831-position model. The record is from RNAcentral.